ACGCUGGCGGCGUGCCUAAUACAUGCAAGUAGAACGCUGAAGGAGGAGCUUGCUUCUCCGGAUGAGUUGCGAACGGGUGAGUAACGCGUAGGUAACCUGCCUGGUAGCGGGGGAUAACUAUUGGAAACGAUAGCUAAUACCGCAUAAGAGUAGAUGUUGCAUGACAUUUGCUUAAAAGGUGCAAUUGCAUCACUAUCAGAUGGACCUGCGUUGUAUUAGCUAGUUGGUGGGGUAACGGCUCACCAAGGCGACGAUACAUAGCCGACCUGAGAGGGUGAUCGGCCACACUGGGACUGGGACACGGCCCAGACUCCUACGGGAGGCAGCAGUAGGGAAUCCUCGGCAAUGGACGGAAGUCUGACCGAGCAACGCCGCGUGAGUGAAGAAGGUUUUCGGAUCGUAAAGCUCUGUUGUAAGAGAAGAACGAGUGUGAGAGUGGAAAGUUCACACUGUGACGGUAUCUUACCAGAAAGGGACGGCUAACUACGUGCCAGCAGCCGCGGUAAUACGUAGGUCCCGAGCGUUGUCCGCAUUUAUUGGGCGUAAAGCGAGCGCAGGCGGUUAGAUAAGUCUGAAGUUAAAGGCUAUGGCUUAACCAUAGUACGCUUUGGAAACUGUUUAACUUGAGUGCAAGAGGGGAGAGUGGAAUUCCAUGUGUAGCGGUGAAAUGCGUAGAUAUAUGGAGGAACACCGGUGGCGAAAGCGGCUCUCUGGCUUGUAACUGACGCUGAGGCUCGAAAGCGUGGGGAGCAAACAGGAUUAGAUACCCUGGUAGUCCACGCCGUAAACGAUGAGUGCUAGGUGUUAGACCCUUUCCGGGGUUUAGUGCCGCAGCUAACGCAUUAAGCACUCCGCCUGGGGAGUACGACCGCAAGGUUGAAACUCAAAGGAAUUGACGGGGGCCCGCACAAGCGGUGGAGCAUG
This 924-nucleotide ribosomal RNA is filed under the name uncultured bacterium. RNAcentral's name for it is "bacterial SSU rRNA". It matches the Rfam family "Bacterial small subunit ribosomal RNA", at positions 33 to 941 of the family's 1533-position model. The record is from RNAcentral.